AGUCCCAAGUAUUGAAGAAUUUUGUAAGGCAUGCAAAGGCUCAUCAAGUCUCAAAGCCUGUUUAUGGCGAGACCAGAUGCCAAGCGUGCCAGAAUAUGCUCGACCGCGCGAAGGCGAGCAGAAUCCCAAGCAUUGAAGAAUUUUCUAAGGCAUGCUAAGGCUCACUAAGUCUCAAAGCCUGUUUAUGGCGAGACCAGAAGCCAAGCGUGCCAGGAUCUGCUCCACCGCGCGAAGUUGAGCAGAAUCCCAAGUAUUGAAGAAUUUUCUAAGGCAUGCACAGGCUCAUCAAGUUUCAAAGCCUGUUUAUGGCGAGGCCAGAUGCCAAGCGUGCCAGAAUCUGCUCGACCGUGCGAAGGCGAGGAGAAUCCCAAGCAUUGAAGAAUUUUCUAAGGCAUGCAAAGGCUCAUCAAGUCUCAAAGCCUGUUUAUGGCGAGACCAAAUGCCAAGCGUGCCAGAAUCUGCACGACCGCGCGAAGGCGAGCAGAAUCCCAAGCAUUGAAGAAUUUUCUAAGGCAUGCAAACGCUCACUAAGUCUCAAAGCCUGUUUAUGGCGAGACCAGAAGCCAAGAG
This 570-nucleotide long non-coding RNA is filed under the name Citrus x clementina. Its description in RNAcentral is "Citrus clementina (C. clementina) long non-coding RNA (CCLE_LNC004813)". The record is from RNAcentral. Lineage: Eukaryota; Viridiplantae; Streptophyta; Magnoliopsida; Sapindales; Rutaceae.